AUCGCUUCUCGGCGUUUUGGCUAAGAUCAAGUGUAGUAUCUGUUCUUAUCAGUUUAAUAUAACAUACCUCUCUUUUGAUGUCAUUGGAGAUAUUUUACAGUACAAAUGUGAUCAUUA
RNAcentral lists this small nuclear RNA (117 nucleotides) under Zalophus californianus (California sea lion). Its description in RNAcentral is "U2 spliceosomal RNA (ENSZCAG00015008956.1)". It matches the Rfam family "U2 spliceosomal RNA". From Rfam's summary of the family: U2 is a small nuclear RNA (snRNA) component of the spliceosome (involved in pre-mRNA splicing). Complementary binding between U2 snRNA (in an area lying towards the 5' end but 3' to hairpin I) and the branchpoint sequence (BPS) of the intron results the bulging out of an unpaired adenosine, on the BPS, which initiates a nucleophilic attack at the intronic 5' splice site, thus starting the first of two transesterification reactions that mediate splicing. The record is from RNAcentral. Lineage: Eukaryota; Metazoa; Chordata; Mammalia; Carnivora; Otariidae.